AUUGAACGCUGGCGGCAUGCUUUACACAUGCAAGUCGAACGGCAGCGCGGGCUUCGGCCUGGUGGCGAGUGGCACACGGGUGUGUAAUAUAUCUGAACGUCCCCAGAAGUGGGGGAUAACGUAGCGAAAGUUACGCUAAUACCGCAUACGAUCUAUGGAUGAAAGCGGGGGACCGCAAGGCCUUGUGCUCCUGGAGCGGCCGAUAGCUGAUUAGCUAGUUGGUGAGGUAAAGGCUCACCAAGGCGACGAUCAGUAGCUGGUCUGAGAGGACGACCAGCCACACUGGGACUGAGACACGGUCCAGACUCCUACGGGAGGCAGCAGUGGGGAAUUUUGGACAAUGUGCGCAAUCCUGAUCCAGCAAUGCCGCGUGGGUGAAGAAGGCCUUCGGGUUGUAAAGCUGCUUUGUCAGGGAAGAAACGGUAGAGGCUAAUAUCCUUUGCUAAUGACGGUACCUGAAGAAUAAGCACCGGCUAACUACGUG
This 484-nucleotide ribosomal RNA is filed under the name uncultured bacterium. RNAcentral describes it as "partial 16S ribosomal RNA". It matches the Rfam family "Bacterial small subunit ribosomal RNA", at positions 30 to 507 of the family's 1533-position model. The record is from RNAcentral.